GGAUAAAGCUGUAGACUCCUGAGCAACAUAGGUCCCCUUCAGCAGAAUGUCCUACUAGUCAGCAUUGGCACUUGGUCAGAAGUGAUUGGUGUUUCCGAAGCCCGAUUCCUUUCUUUGGAAGAGGGGACACUGAGACCUGCAGUGUGUAACUUACCAGGAUCUGUAAGCUCACCAGACCCACAGCCUCAGAGCAGGAUACAGGGGCUAUAUGCGUACUUGCAGCUGGACUGGCAGCAGGAAGUCAGAGGUGGUGCUACAGGUUAGCACUGGACCAUGCCCAGCUUGGCAGCCCACAGCAUUCCCUCCUCUCCUGGGCAGGCAUGGCAAAGGCUCAUAAAACCACGAGCACCGUCUACUUGGACUUUGCCGACUGGAACCAGAUGUCCUAUGAGCCAUGUCUGCCAUGUGGUCUGCACACACCCUGGGAUAGCUAACAAUGCGUGUAGCCCAACACAAAAGUUUGAACUUACUCAAAAUAUUAUGAGACUUGUUUUGUAUGUGAUUUUGUUGUCGUUGUUGUUACUUGACUGUACAGUUCUUGACUGUGAACUUGGAAGUGACACCAUGUUUUAGGAUUGAAAA
Mus caroli (Ryukyu mouse) is the source of this 582-nucleotide non-coding RNA. NCBI's taxonomy places the organism in Eukaryota, Metazoa, Chordata, Mammalia, Rodentia, Muridae. The record is from RefSeq and is a predicted model, not a curated record.